This 492-nucleotide ribosomal RNA is filed under the name uncultured bacterium. RNAcentral describes it as "partial 16S ribosomal RNA". It matches the Rfam family "Bacterial small subunit ribosomal RNA", at positions 29 to 507 of the family's 1533-position model. The record is from RNAcentral.
AGUGAACGCUGGCGGUAGGCCUAACACAUGCAAGUCGAACGGCAGCACAGUAAGAGCUUGCUCUUACGGGUGGCGAGUGGCGGACGGGUGAGGAAUACAUCGGAAUCUACUUUUUCGUGGGGGAUAACGUAGGGAAACUUACGCUAAUACCGCAUACGACCUACGGGUGAAAGCAGGGGAUCUUCGCACCUUGCGCGAUUGAAUGAGCCGAUGACGGAUUAGCUAGUUGGCGGGGUAAAGGCCCACCAAGGCGACGAUCCGUAGCUGGUCUGAGAGGAUGAUCGGCCACACUAGAAGGGAGCCACGGUCCAUGCUCCUGCGGGAGGCAACAGUGGGGAAUAUUGGACAGUGGGCGCGAGCCUGACCCAGCCGUACCGCGUGGGUGAAGAAGGCCUUCGGGUUGUGAAGCCCUUUUGUUGGGAAAGAAAAGCAGCAGGUUAAUACCCAGCUGUUCUGACGGUACCCAAUGAAUAAGCACCGGCUAACUUCGUG